This 301-nucleotide ribosomal RNA is filed under the name uncultured bacterium. Its description in RNAcentral is "partial 16S ribosomal RNA". It matches the Rfam family "Bacterial small subunit ribosomal RNA", at positions 509 to 808 of the family's 1533-position model. The record is from RNAcentral.
CAGUAGCCGCGGGAAUACAGAGGGUGCAAGCGUUAAUCGGAAUUACUGGGCGUAAAGCGCGCGUAGGUGGUUUGUUAAGUUGGAUGUGAAAUCCCCGGGCUCAACCUGGGAACUGCAUCCAAAACUGGCAAGCUAGAGUAUGGUAGAGGGUGGUGGAAUUUCCUGUGUAGCGGUGAAAUGCGUAGAUAUAGGAAGGAACACCAGUGGCGAAGGCGACCACCUGGACUGAUACUGACACUGAGGUGCGAAAGCGUGGGGAGCAAACAGGAUUAGAGACCCCUGUAGUCCCUGUCUCUUAACC